Molecule: ribosomal RNA, 557 nt
Filed under: Bifidobacterium adolescentis
Lineage: Bacteria; Bacillati; Actinomycetota; Actinomycetes; Bifidobacteriales; Bifidobacteriaceae
Description: partial 16S ribosomal RNA
Rfam family: Bacterial small subunit ribosomal RNA
Source: RNAcentral
UCUCCUGGAAAACGGGUGGUAAUGCCGGAUGCUCCAGUUGACCGCAUGGUCCUCUGGGAAAGCUUUUGCGGUAUGGGAUGGGGUCGCGUCCUAUCAGCUUGAUGGCGGGGUAACGGCCCACCAUGGCUUCGACGGGUAGCCGGCCUGAGAGGGCGACCGGCCACAUUGGGACUGAGAUACGGCCCAGACUCCUACGGGAGGCAGCAGUGGGGAAUAUUGCACAAUGGGCGCAAGCCUGAUGCAGCGACGCCGCGUGCGGGAUGACGGCCUUCGGGUUGUAAACCGCUUUUGACUGGGAGCAAGCCCUUCGGGGUGAGUGUACCUUUCGAAUAAGCACCGGCUAACUACGUGCCAGCAGCCGCGGUAAUACGUAGGGUGCAAGCGUUAUCCGGAAUUAUUGGGCGUAAAGGGCUCGUAGGCGGUUCGUCGCGUCCGGUGUGAAAGUCCAUCGCUUAACGGUGGAUCCGCGCCGGGUACGGGCGGGCUUGAGUGCGGUAGGGGAGACUGGAAUUCCCGGUGUAACGGUGGAAUGUGUAGAUAUCGGAAAAAGAACACCA